ACGGUGAGUACGCUCCUCGCCGCCUUCGCCCGGGCCCUUCCCGAGCCCGCUCCCGGUCUACCGCCCUGCAGCUCGGCUCUCCCGGGCGCGGCGCGGUCUAGGGGGCUCCGGGUGCGAGGCGGGGGCGGGCGCUGACCCGGGGCGCCCUGGCCGCGUGAGCCGCGGGAUGGGGGCCCGGGCCCCGGAGUAGGCGCGGUGCUGUGUUCCUCCCCGCGCGGUUUCCAGCCAGGAAGCUUCGGGAAGCCUGGUCAUCUACUCACUGGAAACACAUGUGCGAGGGGUCCUAGGGUGUUGGGAAGGCGGUGACUUAGCCUGUGAUGGACUUCCAGUGUGAGCAGUGGCCAGAGUGAAGAGGCCAGCCGGCCCCAGCCCAGAUCAAGAUGCAGAGGCCAGGAUGUGGGCGCAGCCCUGUGCCAGGAGGCUGGCUGAAAUAGAGGUACAGGCCUUGCUCCCUCUGGGACCACCGGCACCCAGGGUGUUUGCAACCUCAGAGCCCAGCUUUCCACACGGCCAUCCAGGGCCACAGUUGCAGCUUUUGCUCUGCUUUCAUUCCAGGGAUGGGCAGGCUGGCAUCGGGAUGCCCACCGCCUCUGCCUGGGUAGUGCUGUGUGUUCCAGCCACCAGUGGCAGCUGCCGGGACCACCCCUCCAUUUUAGUAUCCCGAUUCUUAAGUUCUGCCAUUGUGGUAUUCUGGUGGAAACAAAGAACCAUUUGGCUAUUUUUGAAUUGCCUAGAAUCUAAGACCCUGAGGUAUCUUUUUUUUUACUAUAUUUGAGUCAUCUUGUGUUGUUUUUCCCCCAAGGGGGAAAAAUCUAUAUGGAAAUGUUUAUUUUAAAAUACAGGAUGAAGUGAAUUAAAAGAUUUAAUGCACAUUUCUUCAAGAAUAAUAUUCUGUGUUGGCAAAAUUUGAGAAUAAAUGGGUCUGGAGCGGA
Non-coding RNA from Callithrix jacchus (white-tufted-ear marmoset), 932 nucleotides. Lineage: Eukaryota; Metazoa; Chordata; Mammalia; Primates; Cebidae. The record is from RefSeq and is a predicted model, not a curated record.